UACCGCGGCUGCUGGCACGGAGUUAGCCGGUGCUUCUUCUGUCGCUAACGUCAAAUGAUAGUGCUAUUAACACUACCACCUUCCUCACGACUGAAAGUGCUUUACAACCCGAAGGCCUUCUUCACACACGCGGCAUGGCUGCAUCAGGCUUGCGCCCAUUGUGCAAUAUUCCCCACUGCUGCCUCCCGUAGGAGUCUGGACCGUGUCUCAGUUCCAGUGUGGCUGAUCAUCCUCUCAGACCAGCUAGGGAUCGUCGCCUUGGUGAGCCCUUACCUCACCAACUAGCUAAUCCCACCUAGGCAUAUCCUGACGCGAGAGGCCCGAAGGUCCCCCUCUUUGGCCCGUAGGCAUCAUGCGGUAUUAGCCAUCGUUUCCAAUGGUUAUCCCCCACAUCAGGGCAAUUUCCUAGGCAUUACUCACCCGUCCGCCGCUCAACGCCGUUAUCGUUCCCCGAAGGUUCAGAUAACUCGUUUCCGCUCGACUUGCAUGUGUUAGGCCUGCCGCCAGCGUUCAAUCUGAGCCAUGAUCAAACUC
RNAcentral lists this ribosomal RNA (534 nucleotides) under uncultured Gammaproteobacteria bacterium. RNAcentral's name for it is "partial 16S ribosomal RNA". The record is from RNAcentral. Lineage: Bacteria; Pseudomonadati; Pseudomonadota; Gammaproteobacteria.